AGUGAACGCUGGCGGUGGGCCUAACACAUGCAAGUCGAACGGCAGCACAGUAAGAUCUUGCUCUUACGGGUGGCGAGUGGCGGACGGGUGACGAAUACAUCGGAAUCUACUUUUUCGUGGGGGAUAACGUAGGUAAACUUACGCUAAUACCGCAUAUGACCUACGGGUGAAAGCAGGGGAUCUUCUGACCUUGCGCGAUUGAAUGAGCCGAUGUCGGAUUAGCUAGUUGGCGGGGUAAAGGCCCACCAAGGCGACGAUACGUAGCUGGUCUGAGAGGAUGAUCGGCCACACUGGAACUGAGACACGGUCCAGACUCCUACGGGAGGCAGCAGUGGGGAAUAUUGGGCAAUGGGCGCAAGCCUGAUCCAGCCAUACCGCGUGGGUGAAGAAGGCCUUCGGGUUGUAAAGCCCUUUUGUUGGGAAAGAAAAGCAGCAGGUUAAUACCCCGCUGUUCUGACGGUACCCAAAGAAUAAGCACCGGCUAACUUCGUG
RNAcentral lists this ribosomal RNA (492 nucleotides) under uncultured bacterium. Its description in RNAcentral is "partial 16S ribosomal RNA". It matches the Rfam family "Bacterial small subunit ribosomal RNA", at positions 29 to 507 of the family's 1533-position model. The record is from RNAcentral.